ACAGGCGUGUAAACAGAUCAUUAAAAUGCAAUGUCGCAAGGGCUCUGGGAGAGUCACAGACAAGGAGCACAGGGCAGGAAGUGACUAACUCACCCUGGGAGACGUCUCACAGAAGAAGUACUGUUCAACACGAGCCUGGAAAGCAUCCUGAUGAAUCCAAUAACUUUGGCUGGUGUUGCUUCUAAGCUGCCUGGACCAGAAAGAAGCAGCCGCUUUCCACUGAGAGCCAGAAGCCAAAAUCCGAACUGUUGUCGUGAGGUCACAAGGGUGAUCUCAUAUACGGUGCCAUCUAUUCCAUCUCAGGCCAUUCCUGUGCAGCUGCUUCGAGCUAAAACUCCUCCACGCUCCACUUCUGAUUUUCCAGGGUUUCCCUGUCUGUCAGUUUCAGCCUGCCCCCUCCUGUUAUUUUUAGAUUUGAUUUUAGUCCUUAUAAAGGGCCAGGGGUGAGGAUAGGGAGAAAAUUUUCUUCAUUUUAAUUAAAAGCAGAUGACAAAGAC
This 497-nucleotide long non-coding RNA is filed under the name Equus asinus (donkey). Its description in RNAcentral is "lncRNA (ENSEASG00005024507.1)". The record is from RNAcentral. Lineage: Eukaryota; Metazoa; Chordata; Mammalia; Perissodactyla; Equidae.